This 253-nucleotide ribosomal RNA is filed under the name uncultured bacterium. RNAcentral's name for it is "partial 16S ribosomal RNA". It matches the Rfam family "Bacterial small subunit ribosomal RNA", at positions 524 to 776 of the family's 1533-position model. The record is from RNAcentral.
UACGGAGGGGGCUAGCGUUGUUCGGAAUUACUGGGCGUAAAGCGCGCGUAGGCGGACCUGCAAGUCGGGGGUGAAAUCUCGGAGCUUAACUCCGAAACUGCAUUCGAUACUGGCGUGCUUGAGGACUGGAGAGGAGACUGGAAUUCAUGGUGUAGCAGUGAAAUGCGUAGAGAUCAUGAGGAAGACCAGUGGCGAAGGCGGGUCUCUGGACAGUUCCUGACACUGAGACACGAAGGCCAGGGGAGCAAACGGG